This 526-nucleotide long non-coding RNA is filed under the name Aquilegia coerulea. RNAcentral describes it as "long non-coding RNA (ACOE_LNC001217)". The record is from RNAcentral. Lineage: Eukaryota; Viridiplantae; Streptophyta; Magnoliopsida; Ranunculales; Ranunculaceae.
GUUAACCUGCAAUAAUUUGUAUGCCAACUAACUUAAAAAGGUUUAUCAUUCUGAAAAGCACCGAAGAAAAUGAUCCUCACUUGAUAUCCCAACAGUAAGUAUACAACAUCUGGUAAUGCACAAAAGUACGUGUAAGUGUAUAACUUGAGUACGUGUAAGUGUAUUCCCACUGUAUUUAUAAUACAAUAUAACAAGAUCUAUAGGUACUACACCAAUCAUUGUAAUAAGGCUAAGGUAAGAGAACUAAUGCUAAGGUAAGAGAACUAAUGUUGUCAGAUGUGGUGGAUGGCUUGAGAACCCAACAAAUUUGUUAGUCGUCCAAAAUAAUAUCCCACACGAAAUAUUAUGCACUCUGUUGAAGUUAGGGGUGGGCACGGUCCGGUCCGGUCCUAAAAUGUAAUAGGACCGGGACCAAACCGACUUGAAAGUAUCGGUUCGGUUUCGGUUCCAUGGACCGAAAUAAUUUGAAUGUAACCGGACCGAACCGGACCAAAUACAAUCGGUCCGGUUUCGGUCCGAAACUCGG